RNAcentral lists this ribosomal RNA (107 nucleotides) under Lophiostoma junci. RNAcentral's name for it is "Sigarispora junci partial 28S ribosomal RNA". The record is from RNAcentral. Lineage: Eukaryota; Fungi; Ascomycota; Dothideomycetes; Pleosporales; Lophiostomataceae.
AAUGACCUCGGAUCAGGUAGGGAUACCCGCUGAACUUAAGCAUACCAGUAAGCAAACCCCACCAAUUGACCUCGGAUCAGGUAGGGAUACCCGCUGAACUUAAGCAU